Molecule: transfer RNA, 73 nt
Filed under: Candidatus Thiomargarita nelsonii
Lineage: Bacteria; Pseudomonadati; Pseudomonadota; Gammaproteobacteria; Thiotrichales; Thiotrichaceae
Also listed under: 1 other name
Rfam family: tRNA
About the family: Transfer RNA (tRNA) molecules are approximately 80 nucleotides in length. Their secondary structure includes four short double-helical elements and three loops (D, anti-codon, and T loops). Further hydrogen bonds mediate the characteristic L-shaped molecular structure. tRNAs have two regions of fundamental functional importance: the anti-codon, which is responsible for specific mRNA codon recognition, and the 3' end, to which the tRNAs corresponding amino acid is attached (by aminoacyl-tRNA synthetases). tRNAs cope with the degeneracy of the genetic code in two manners: having more than one tRNA (with a specific anti-codon) for a particular amino acid; and 'wobble' base-pairing, i.e. permitting non-standard base-pairing at the 3rd anti-codon position.
Source: Rfam by way of RNAcentral
GCUCCCUUCGUCUAGUGGCCUAGGACGCCGCCCUCUCACGGCGUAAACAGGGGUUCGAGUCCCCUAGGGAGCG